GCUUCGGUAGCCUAGUGGUUAGGGCGUACGCCUCUGAUGCGGGAAGUCGUGGGCUCGAUCCCCGGCCGAGUCG
This is a non-coding RNA of Potamilus streckersoni, 73 nucleotides long. The record is from the annotation of a GenBank genome assembly. NCBI's taxonomy places the organism in Eukaryota, Metazoa, Mollusca, Bivalvia, Unionida, Unionidae.